UGAAAUUGAAAUUUAGUUAUCUCAGCAAUACAAGCAAUUAUGUCUACCAUACUUCUGAGAUGAAUUGUGUUCAGUCUUUUUCAUAAAAAGAAUUUAUUAUCACAUCACUAUAUACUAUGCAGUAAUGAUAACCACCUGUAGAUGUUAAUCUCGAGAACAAAGGAACAUUAUCCUUUUGCAAAUAAGACGUCUCAAUGAUUAUGUGUCUUUUGUUCGACUUGGAUACGUUCAGUUACGAGUAUAUCGAUUUUUGUUCUACAAAUAUUUUUAUAUCAAGCGACACACAUGUUUUUAAGAACGUCUUUUAUCGUAAUUGGUCCACUCGUGUCAUGAUAUCGACGAAUUGCGCAAUUUAUUAGAUAAAAUUUGGACAGCAGCCAAUUAUUCUGCGAUCGGUGGAGGAAUAGUCUCAUAGUUAAGAUAGUUCCAUCAUGUUAACGAUAUUGCUAGGUAUGAUAACUUUAUUAUGAUUCGAAUAAUUUGUCAAAAACUUUGUGAAAUCUUAAUACAGGCAUACCAUUGAUAUUAUCAGUAAACGAUAAUCGUGUUUCUGAAAUAUCAAGUAUAAUUGACGUGAAACAUACCCCCGAAAACAAAGAUUUUGAUAAAUUAGACACGAGCCUCUUCGAUACGUAUCCUGUAUUGGUGCCGCCAAACUUGGUAAACAAAUCAAUCAAUUAGGCGCGUUUUCCGAAUCAUGGUAUAGGUUACAUUAUAUUCGUGUAAAUGUAAUGAUUCCGUUUAUAAGUUAUCUUUACAAUAAUCGCUCGCAUAGAUAUUACAAAUUUGUUUGAAAGACACCGCAUUGCUUGAUAAAUUGCAUGCCAACGUUAACGAUUGCAACGAUUAUGCUUGUAUGUUCUCGAAAAUAAUCGAGGAUGACUCGAUGAAAUCCGUUGAGUCCGCAAUAAAAAAUGAUACAAUGGAUAACGUCAGCCAAGCAUUCAAGCAAAGUAUACAAGAUUGUGUGGUAUGGUGGAAGUUAUUCAAACAUUUCGAUGCGAAAGCAAAUUCUCGCCAGGAACUGGGGAGGUGUCUGUUUCAAACAUUUACAUCCAAGUGUAGAGAACCUGUUUUAGAUAAAAUAAGAUUACUUUUAAUUACCAAAGAAGAAAGAUAAAAAUAUAUUAUUAUAUUUAGGGAAGGAGUAUUUGAAAUGAUAGUAAGACAAAGUGUUUCGUAACAAAAUAAAAUUUCAAUAUAUUUUCUAUAUAUAACAAAUAAUAUUAUGUUCACAUUUGCAUCAUAUUGCAUGAUUUUUUUAAUUUGAUAUCAUCUAUGUUUGUUGCAUACCCUACACAUCAUACAUUCAAUUUAAUUACAACAUUUCCAUGCAACAUGUUCUAAUAUAUACAGAUUUCAGUUCCCUCUUUGUAAACGAGAAAAAAUAAUAAAAAUUGAAUACUGUAUUUUGUAUCUAUCAUUAACAAGGAUAUGUUUGCAAGUGUACGUCUCAUGUAUAGUCUUAAUUAUUAUGAGGAAAGAAAAGUAUUUACUCUAAUGGCUUUGAAUUUAUUCACCCAAAUAGCAGGUGAAUUCAAAAUAAAUAAUAAAGAAAUGUUUUUAAAAUAUAUUAAUAUUUUUUUUUUUUUU
This is a long non-coding RNA of Hylaeus volcanicus, 1593 nucleotides long. RefSeq lists it as uncharacterized. The record is from RefSeq and is a predicted model, not a curated record. The transcript is spliced from 2 exons. NCBI's taxonomy places the organism in Eukaryota, Metazoa, Arthropoda, Insecta, Hymenoptera, Colletidae.